CGCGGGAAUUCGAUUAGAGUUUGAUCAUGGCUCAGAUUGAACGCUGGGGGCAGGCCUAACACAUGCAAGUCGAGCGGUAGAGAGGUGCUUGCACCUCUUGAGAGCGGCGGACGGGUGAGUAAUGCCUAGGAAUCUGCCUGGUAGUGGGGGAUAACGCUCGGAAACGGACGCUAAUACCGCAUACGUCCUACGGGAGAAAGCAGGGGACCUUCGGGCCUUGCGCUAUCAGAUGAGCCUAGGUCGGAUUAGCUAGUUGGUGGGGUAAUGGCUCACCAAGGCGACGAUCCGUAACUGGUCUGAGAGGAUGAUCAGUCACACUGGAACUGAGACACGGUCCAGACUCCUACGGGAGGCAGCAGUGGGGAAUAUUGGACAAUGGGCGAAAGCCUGAUCCAGCCAUGCCGCGUGUGUGAAGAAGGUCUUCGGAUUGUAAAGCACUUUAAGUUGGGAGGAAGGGCAUUAACCUAAUACGUUAGUGUUUUGACGUUACCGACAGAAUAAGCACCGGCUAACUCUGUGCCAGCAGCCGCGGUAAUACGAAUCACUAGUGAAUUCCGGCCGCCUGCAGGUCGACCAUAUGG
This 581-nucleotide ribosomal RNA is filed under the name uncultured Gammaproteobacteria bacterium. Its description in RNAcentral is "bacterial SSU rRNA". It matches the Rfam family "Bacterial small subunit ribosomal RNA", at positions 1 to 572 of the family's 1533-position model. Lineage: Bacteria; Pseudomonadati; Pseudomonadota; Gammaproteobacteria. The record is from RNAcentral.